UACAGAGGUCCCAAGCGUUGUUCGGAUUCAUUGGGCGUAAAGGGUGCGUAGGUGGCGCUGUAAGUCGGGUGUGAAAUUUCGGAGCUUAACUCCGAAACUGCAUUCGAUACUGCGGUGCUUGAGGGCUGGAGAGGAGACUGGAAUUCAUGGUGUAGCAGUGAAAUGCGUAGAGAUCAUGAGGAAGACCAGUGCCGAAGGCGGGUCUCUGGACAGUUCCUGACACUGAGGCACGAAGGCCAGGGGAGCAAACGGG
Molecule: ribosomal RNA, 253 nt
Filed under: uncultured bacterium
Lineage: Bacteria
Description: partial 16S ribosomal RNA
Rfam family: Bacterial small subunit ribosomal RNA
Source: RNAcentral